Molecule: long non-coding RNA, 668 nt
Organism: Lagopus leucura (white-tailed ptarmigan)
Lineage: Eukaryota; Metazoa; Chordata; Aves; Galliformes; Phasianidae
Exons: 3
Source: RefSeq, a predicted model, not a curated record
CCAAAAAGACAACUGUGAUGGAAGACAGUUACACAUCCCAGAUGGAAUAAGUAUCUACAUUUUUUUGCAGCUGGACAAAAGCUGGAUAUUCAAAGAAAUGUGAAGAAAUUGUGUCGAAUCCUGACAAGGUUAACCUGUAACAUUCCUGAUAGAAACAAAACCACUGAAAAUGACCAAAAAACAUUGCUAGCUAUGAUGUUUGAAAUGGGCCUGCUAAAGAAAAUGCCAAACUUCACGUGGAAAUUCAAUGGGCAAGUGUGGAAGCAGGACAGUAUGUAUGAGGUCAUUGCAUCUGAUGAUUGUACUGGCCCACACUUAGGAUAUCCUGUCCUGUGAACUUCAGAACUCAAUGCUGAAACUGGAGAUACAGAGCGGAAAGCUCCAUUCUUCAUUGAUCACAGAGGUUACAGUUCAAUUCAUCAGCAAACCUGAGAAUACCCAAAGGAAGAAUGGAAAAUCCUGUCUGGAGUAUGUGCUGAUUUUGGAAGAUGUCACUCUGAAAGAGAUGAGGAAUUGAUGGGUGAUUGAAAGAUUUCAAGUACACUAGGAAUCAUGAAGGGAAGAGAGCAGAGCUUAUCAUAAUGUUGAUGAGCCAGUGACUCAGGAACUUGUAUAGGCAUUGCUGUGUGAGACAGUGAACCUAACGACUGCUACAGCAGCUCCAUUGU